AUGUUCGCCUCCAUCUGCCGGCGGCGGCUCGCCCUCCGAAUCCAUCAAAUCGCUGGCGGUGGCGGCAGGACAAACCCCCUCGAGUUCAUCCCUGGCACCAUCCCUCUCGCCCACUGCUACUCCUCGCCCGCCGUCGCCGAAGUCCCGAGCUCGGAGCCCUGCCCCGACACCGUUUCCUACCUCAUCUCGUGCGGCCUCUCCCCCGCCGCCGCUGGCGCGGCCACCAACUCUCAACACCUCCGCAUCCGCUCCACCGACAAGGCCGACGCUGUGCGCGCCAUCCUCAAGCUCUAUGGCUUCGCCGACGCGGACAUCGUCCGGACGUUGCGCAGCGCCCCGGUUCUCCUCGUCGUUGACCCCGAGCGGGUCCUCCGCCCCAAGCUCGACUUUUUCGCCUCCCUAGGUUUCGAGACCCACAAGCUCGCCACCGAGCCUUUGCUGCUCGCACGCAGCCUCGACAAGCACCUCGUCCCCGCCAUCCAGUUCCUCCGCGGGAUCAUCGGCAGCGACGACGACCUCCGCCGCGCUUUUCACCGCGUCCCCCGCGGCCUCGCUGUGGACCUCGACAACAACAUGCGCCCCGCCGUGGAAGCUCUCCGCCGCGGCGGCCUCGCAGAGGCCGACAUUUCGAAGCUGCUCGUCAUCCGGUUGGGCGUGCUCUUGUCGUCACGGGAUCGCAUCAGCGAAAUCUUUGAGGAACUCAAGGCGAUGGGCAUGUCCGUCCUGGACCCACGCUUCCUCUACUGCUUCCGUGCGAUGUCCGGUGUUAAGAGGGACUCAUGGCUGCGGAAAAUGGCAUUUUACCAGAGCUUCGGGCUGUCAGAGGGUGAGUUGCUGCAGGCCUUCAAGAAGCAGCCCACGAUAUUCCUUUUCGCCGAUGAGAGCAUAAACAAGAAGGUCCGGUUCCUGCUGGACGAGCUGAAGCUUGGAAUAAGUGAUGUAAUUGCGCGGCCUGUAGUUCUAGGUUAUAGCUUGGAGAAGUGCAUCCUGCCGAGGUGUGCCGUGCUGAGUGUGUUGAUGAGGGAGGGGAGGAUUCGGAGAGAUAUCAAAUUGCUUCAGGCAUUGCUUGGCAGUUCCAGGAAUUUCGAGACCAGGUAUGUGUUGAGGCAUGCUGAUGAUGUGCCAGAUGUUGUUAAGGCAUAUCAGGGUAAGAUCAAAUUUGAAGGAUUCAAAUAG
This 1176-nucleotide ribosomal RNA is filed under the name Triticum aestivum (bread wheat). RNAcentral describes it as "partial small subunit ribosomal RNA". Lineage: Eukaryota; Viridiplantae; Streptophyta; Magnoliopsida; Poales; Poaceae. The record is from RNAcentral.